This 1436-nucleotide ribosomal RNA is filed under the name Vibrio parahaemolyticus. RNAcentral describes it as "bacterial SSU rRNA". It matches the Rfam family "Bacterial small subunit ribosomal RNA". The record is from RNAcentral. Lineage: Bacteria; Pseudomonadati; Pseudomonadota; Gammaproteobacteria; Vibrionales; Vibrionaceae.
UGCAGUCGAGCGGAACGAGCAUAUCUGAACCUUCGGGGGACGAUAACGGCGUCGAGCGGCGGACGGGUGAGUAAUGCCUAGGAAAUUGCCCUGAUGUGGGGGAUAACCAUUGGAAACGAUGGCUAAUACCGCAUGAUGCCUACGGGCCAAAGAGGGGGACCUUCGGGCCUCUCGCGUCAGGAUAUGCCUAGGUGGGAUUAGCUAGUUGGUGAGGUAAGGGCUCACCAAGGCGACGAUCCCUAGCUGGUCUGAGAGGAUGAUCAGCCACACUGGAACUGAGACACGGUCCAGACUCCUACGGGAGGCAGCAGUGGGGAAUAUUGCACAAUGGGCGCAAGCCUGAUGCAGCCAUGCCGCGUGUGUGAAGAAGGCCUUCGGGUUGUAAAGCACUUUCAGUCGUGAGGAAGGUAGUGUAGUUAAUAGCUGCAUUAUUUGACGUUAGCGACAGAAGAAGCACCGGCUAACUUCCGUGCCAGCAGCCGCGGUUAAUACGGAGGGGUGGCGAGCGUUAAUCGGAAUUACUGGGCGUAAAGCGCAUGCCAGGUGGUUUGUUAAGUCAGAUGUGAAAGCCCGGGGCUCAACCUCGGAAUUGCAUUUGAAACUGGCAGACUAGAGUACUGUAGAGGGGGGUAGAAUUUCAGGUGUAGCGGUGAAAUGCGUAGAGAUCUGAAGGAAUACCGGGUGGCGAAGGCGGCCCCCUGGACAGAUACUGACACUCAGGAUGCGAAAGCGUGGGGGAGCAAACAGGAUUAGAUACCCCUGGUAGUCCACGCCGUAAACGAUGUCUACCUUGGAGGUUGUGGCCUUGAGCCGUGGCUUUCGGAGCUUAACGCGUUAAGUAGACCGCCUGGGGAAGUACGGUCGCAAGAUUUAAAACUCAAAUGAAUUGACGGGGGCCCGCCACAAGCGGUGGAGCAUGUUGGUUUAAUUCGAUGCCAACGCGAAGAACCUUACCUACUCUUGACAUCCAGAGAACUUUCCAGAGAUGGAUUGGUGCCUUCGGGAACUCUGAGACAGGUGCUGCAUGGCUGUCGUCAGCUCGUGUUGUGAAAUGUUGGGUUAAGUCCCGCAACGAGCGCAACCCUUAUCCUUGUUUGCCAGCGAGUAAUGUCGGGAACUCCAGGGAGACUGCCGGUGAUAAACCGGAGGAAGGUGGGGACGACGUCAAGUCAUCAUGGCCCUUACGAGUAGGGCUACACACGUGCUACAAUGGCGCAUACAGAGGGCAGCCAACUUGCGAAAGUGAGCGAAUCCCAAAAAGUGCGUCGUAGUCCGGAUUGGAGUCUGCAACUCGACUCCAUGAAGUCGGAAUCGCUAGUAAUCGUGGAUCAGAAUGCCACGGUGAAUACGUUCCCGGGCCUUGUACACACCGCCCGUCACACCAUGGGAGUGGGCUGCAAAAGAAGUAGGUAGUUUAACCUUCGGGGGGACGCUUA